This 298-nucleotide ribosomal RNA is filed under the name uncultured bacterium. RNAcentral's name for it is "partial 16S ribosomal RNA". It matches the Rfam family "Bacterial small subunit ribosomal RNA", at positions 335 to 631 of the family's 1533-position model. The record is from RNAcentral.
UUUCCUACGGGAGGCAGCAGUGAGGAAUAUUGGUCAAUGGGCGCGAGCCUGAACCAGCCAAGUCGCGUGAGGGAAGACUGUCCUAUGGAUUGUAAACCUCUUUUAUCGGGGAGCAAAAGUUUCCACGCGUGGCGUUCCGAGAGUACCCGAAGAAAAAGCAUCGGCUAACUCCGUGCCAGCAGCCGCGGUAAUACGGAGGAUGCGAGCGUUAUCCGGAUUUAUUGGGUUUAAAGGGAGCGCAGGCGGAUUAUCAAGUCAGCGGUAAAAUUGUGCGGCUCAACCUCUUCACUCCGGUGAA